AGGAAAUAUUAAGGGCAGCCAAUUUCAUCUUCCUUAGACCUAUGUAGCGAGGACCCGCUGCGAGGUCCAGCGGAUAGACUUCUCUGUGUGUCCGGUCCUGUCCGGUCCUGUCUCUGGUUGCCUGGUUACAGAUGCUGCUGCACCCACGCGUUUAAAAAUUUCUACACCUGAAACUCCACCACGUCCAAAGAAGCAAAAACGUUUUCAAAUGUACAGACAUGAGUGUGAAGAUUCGAACCCCUGGUAAUAGCUACAGGGCAAACUGUGUUUUCUGUUGCUCAUGGACUGGCUGAAGUAAGGCAGCAUCAGGAGACCAACAUGGAAGAAACAUGAGAACAGAGAGAACCCAACCAGCAGGUCACAGUUUAUCAUCAUCUAAUCAUCUCCUGAAGUCUAUAUGGUGGUUCUGGCAGAGCUUGGACUGAUGUUCUGGAUAAUUAUCUGCUGUAGGAUGAACUCCUGACCAACUAGAACAUACCAGAGGGUUCUGCAUGGAGCUGCAGAAUGCUGUGGUAGCUGUUUAGGUUCAGGGUUCCUCUCACUCUGUACAAGAACCGACCCUGGAUCCAACAGAACAGCCCCAGACCAUCAUACUUCCUCCUCCAUGUUUAACAGGCUAACAGCUGCUGUGUCCCCAGCAUCCACAGCAGCGUUUCCAUGUGUGAG
Long non-coding RNA from Amphiprion ocellaris (clown anemonefish), 666 nucleotides. The record is from Ensembl. NCBI's taxonomy places the organism in Eukaryota, Metazoa, Chordata, Actinopteri, Pomacentridae.